CCGUCCAAAGCGCCCUGAGCGACUGUUCCCGAGGGGAGGGUCCCGGAGGAGGGGCAGCCCGAGCCGGAUCAGGAAAACCCAACUCCGCUGGGCGGCGGGCCACGGCCUAGGAGAAGGAAACGGAAAUCGCUACGACUCCCUCCCUCGGCCUCCACAGGCCGGACGGUCCCCUCAGAGAAAACUUCGGGACCGGAACCAAAUGAAAAUCUUACCAAGCCACCUUCAAUUUCCUUGAGAAAAAUCAGGAGUUCAAGGUCAUCCCCAGCCUAAGAUGAAUGGGACCCCGUCUCAAAACAAAACAAACAAAAAUUCACCUCAAGCUACCCUCCUUUGUCUUUAUAGUGUGUACCUCCAUGCCCUGCUUCUGCUGUGCUGUUGAACUCGGGACUCUACAUACUAGCAGCCAGUUACGCGUGGAAACCACAAUAUAGAUCACUUUUCUGCUCAGAUCCCUUCGCUGGCUCUCCAGUUCACUCAACCAAAGGCCACCUCCAAAGAAUUAGUGCUGGCCCAUGUGACUGAUAGAAUACAGAAGUGGUGAUGCAUGACAUUUAAGAGGACCUUCACUAAGUCCCCAGUGCUCACAUAGUGAUUCCAAACCAUCUGUACCCCAGUUACUGGUGAUCUGAUGCCCACUCUAUGCCUGAAUCAUCAGGUAGUGUAAAUGAACUCUUGCAGCCUCACAUACAAUUAAGAAAAAAAGAAAGGAAGAAAGAAAAAAAACACUACAAAGAGCAGAGGCCUUUCUGUUGUUCACAGAUAAAGCCCAAGUGUUCACAACAACAUCUGAUGUGGAAGGCGUACAUACCUGCCAAGGAUCACACUGGUAUGUCAGAGAGGAUGGCCUUCGUGAAGAUCAUUUAUG
Molecule: long non-coding RNA, 865 nt
Organism: Arvicola amphibius (Eurasian water vole)
Lineage: Eukaryota; Metazoa; Chordata; Mammalia; Rodentia; Cricetidae
Exons: 7
Source: RefSeq, a predicted model, not a curated record